This 482-nucleotide ribosomal RNA is filed under the name uncultured bacterium. RNAcentral describes it as "partial 16S ribosomal RNA". It matches the Rfam family "Bacterial small subunit ribosomal RNA", at positions 30 to 507 of the family's 1533-position model. The record is from RNAcentral.
AUUGAACGCUGGCGGCAUGCUUUACACAUGCAAGUCGAACGGUAACAGGCCGCAAGGUGCUGACGAGUGGCGAACGGGUGAGUAAUGCAUCGGAACGUGCCCAGUCGUGGGGGAUAACUACUCGAAAGAGUAGCUAAUACCGCAUACGAUCUAUGGAUGAAAGCGGGGGACCGCAAGGCUUCGCGCGAUUGGAGCGGCCGAUGUCAGAUUAGGUAGUUGGUGGGGUAAAGGCUCACCAAGCCAACGAUCUGUAGCUGGUCUGAGAGGACGACCAGCCACACUGGGACUGAGACACGGCCCAGACUCCUACGGGAGGCAGCAGUGGGGAAUUUUGGGCAAUGGGCGCAAGCCUGAUCCAGCAACGCCGCGUGCAGGAAGAAGGCCUUCGGGUUGUAAACUGCUUUUGUACGGAACGAAACGGCUCUGGUUAAUACCCGGGGCUAAUGACGGUACCGUAAGAAUAAGCACCGGCUAACUACGUG